CUGACUGGUGCGAGGGAGCCGCGCGGUGGAGGCACCAGGUGGGCUAUGACGGCAGUAGGCAGCGGCCCCAGGGAACCGAGUCUGCUCAGCCCUGGCAGUCUGAAGGGGAAUUGGGCCUGGGAAGGAAAUAUACUCCCCACCCCAGGACUCAAUGUUCCCUUUCAUUUCAUUUCUCUCUCCUGGCUAAUCUACCACCCAUGCAGGGGCAUAGCUAGGGGAGCGGAGCCGCGUCCACUCCUUUCCCUGCGGUCCCCUGGAGUGAGGGAGACAAUGAAGAAAAGAAGGAGGGGUGGAGGCCCUCAGGAGCUGGGGAGCCGGAGGGUUUGAACCCAUCCGCUCCCCUGCACCACACACCUCGGCACUGCCGCUACCACCACCCCCGCCCCUACAGGAUCCUCACUGGGACAAACCUCUCAACAACAAAACAUACAAUAUUACUAGACAGGAUACAACAAUAGCAUAAUAGGACACUGAGCUGCUUUUCUCAUAAUGACAGAAGAUGCAUGUACAGAGCUUGACGUAUAUUACCUGCAGUCUCAAAAAUAGUGGGCAAGCAUAACUGGGCAGGAUCAGACAGAAAACAGUGCUCCUAAUGUCGCUUUGAUGUGGUUUAGAGUGGAUUCUGCUUAUCUGCAACAUUGAAUACAGAGAAGCAAGAAGCUUUUGGUGGGCCACUGGAGCAUAGCCAAAGAAUGGAUUCUUUGAAUUGACUUUGGAUAUUAGAAGGCCAGCUUCACCUGUGUGUAAAAUUGUAAAGAGAAACAAAGAUGCAAGGCAUUGUGGUCCAUUUGCCAGGUAGAAAAGCAGCAUUUUGAAACUCUGCUACUUGCUGCUGCUGAUAGGACUGAAGAUUUCUUAGAAGAAGGAAAGAGAGCCUGCUGCUCACCUGCUAGUUUACAGGAAAGUAAAGUGAAGAAUGAUUGAACUAUGCCAACAGAUAUUGGGAGGGUGGCUGCAGCCACUAGCCUAAAGAGUAAGAGGGACAUGUUUUGCAUGUAAAUUGAAUUUGUUCAAGCCAUAAUUAUUAUUAUUAGUUAAUAAAUAAAAAUUAUUAUUUAUAAUUACUAUUACUUAUAGUUAAUAAUAUUUAAUAAUAAUAUUAAGUUAGACAAAUAGGUUUCCAUUGCAGAUUAGCUCUGCAGUAUUAAAAGAUAUACAACAUUUACCAGACCAUGAGAGCAUUUGUGUUUAGACAUAGCAGGUUUAUCUAUCCAUUACCUCUAUUUAUAAUUCCCAUAGAUUUUUUUAAAAAUCAAACCAGAAACCCCCUUUCUCUCCAAAAGCAUCAGUGGAGGACCUGGUCUGGAUUGAGACCAUGUAGGAGCAGGGUUAACCCUAAGUUUUUUAAUCUUGCGCCAUUUUCUCAUCAAAUAUCACCCAAACCCAAGCUGCAGAAAAUACUUUUGGGGUAAAUAGCAGCUUGGGAAUGAUUUUCAGCAGGAAAUAUUUAAAAUGUCAAAAUGGUACUUAGGGAGCAUAGCAAAUGCUAUUCAAAUGCCUUUUCCUUAUGCUGUUAUUAAAAUCAUUCCAGUAUCAACAUAAACAAAAGUGUUCAUAAUUUAUGUUUUAAUAGAGCACUGUCUCAUCAGAAACCACUUCUGUGGUUUGCAACAGAUGGCCUUCUCAUGUAAACUGGUUAACUCAUGUCAUAUGACUAUCAAAGGACGGGACAAAAAAUCAUUUAGUGAAUGUAAAAAAGGGAGUGGGGUUUUUUCUCUGCUUGGAAUGCAAAGGCUUUAAAUGUUUAUGGCAUAUGAGAAGUUCUUACCUAACACCAGCAAAACAACCUUCAAAACUGACACAAUUUAAAUGCAUAACCUGCCUUCCAAUUCUUUUAACAUGGUGAAUCUUACCUAGGAGUCCCCUCCUGUGUGCUGUAAAUUUGGUUUCUGUC
Hemicordylus capensis (graceful crag lizard) is the source of this 1894-nucleotide long non-coding RNA. RefSeq lists it as uncharacterized. The record is from RefSeq and is a predicted model, not a curated record. NCBI's taxonomy places the organism in Eukaryota, Metazoa, Chordata, Lepidosauria, Squamata, Cordylidae. The transcript is spliced from 6 exons.